UACGGAGGGUGCGAGCGUUGUCCGGAAUCACUGGGCGUAAAGGGCGCGUAGGCGGCCUCUUAAGUCGAACGUGAAAUCCCCGGGCUCAACCCGGGAACUGCGUCCGAUACUGGGGGGCUUGAAUCCGGGAGAGGGAUAUGGAAUUCCAGGUGUAGCGGUGAAAUGCGUAGAUAUCUGGAGGAACACCGGUGGCGAAGGCGGCAUCCUGGACCGGUAUUGACGCUGAGGCGCGAAAGCCAGGGGAGCAAACGGG
RNAcentral lists this ribosomal RNA (253 nucleotides) under uncultured bacterium. Its description in RNAcentral is "partial 16S ribosomal RNA". It matches the Rfam family "Bacterial small subunit ribosomal RNA", at positions 524 to 776 of the family's 1533-position model. The record is from RNAcentral.